Molecule: long non-coding RNA, 1219 nt
Organism: Chroicocephalus ridibundus (black-headed gull)
Lineage: Eukaryota; Metazoa; Chordata; Aves; Charadriiformes; Laridae
Exons: 3
Source: RefSeq, a predicted model, not a curated record
AGCCUCACCUGAGAGUAAAAAUGAAGCAGAGGCAGAGACCUGGCUGAAGCAGGCUGAGCCACUGUCCUCACCGGCAAUGGCAGAAGACGGGGAACCUUCUUCAGUGCCGCAGCAGAUGUUUCAUGCACAAACACCACUGCGGGAGCGUGCCUGAGGGAUGGGCCACAGCACACUUCUGGCCGGGCUGACAGCUUUCCCUGGCUGGGACACGUUUAGAAGGCAGUUUGGAUGCCGCUGCCCUGGUUUGGAAGGCACCUGUUGGGAAUAGCUUCCUACUCAGCAUCCCGAAGAGUCCAACCGCUGCCUUGCAAGGUGACCAUCGGGUGACCAUCCCUCCACAAAUGCCCGAGGUGCGUCUGCACCUCAUUGUGCGAGGAGGCUGUACUCGUUCUGAAUCUCUAAAGGAGAGCUCUGUAACACUGAGGGUCUUUAUUGAAUCCAGCUUUCCGGUCUCCCGUCUAAUAUGGUGGUAACAGUGUAUUUGCGGUAAUGGGCAACGUAUUCCAAGAUCCGAUGGGACUGCCGGAGUGCGGUGCUGGAGCCAGCAGGUAACGCUGAUAAAGCCUUCAUGCACUCCUUGCUCCAAAUCAAUGUGCUUGAAUUUCUUCUGCUACAAACUGCUGUGGACUUUUUUUUUUUUAAUAGUAAAAAAAUACUGGAAUUCUUUAUUUUCCUUCCAAAAUAUUACUACAGCUCAGCCUACAUACUCGUCAAGUGUAACCGCAUACUGUGUUUUCCAUGAGUCUGUUACAUCUUCAUUCCUAACUGACAAACGGGUGGCUUUUCAGAAACAGGACAAUUUUCAGAGAGAACUGAAUCUGAAAAGCUUUUUUUAAAUAACGUCUUAUACCACAGUAAUACCAUAAAUAAAGUCUCUUCACUAGGUGUGCUUACGUUACACUCGUUUUCCAACACUACUAUGUAACAGCACCUAAGAAGAAAAAUUAUUUGAACAUUCAUACGGCUAUUUACACUGACUUUUAUUACCUAGGUCACCAAAAUUUAACAAACAAACCCCCAACAAAACAAACCCAAACCCUGUGCUGUGGCUGCAGACAUACCUUGGGUUGCCCGACUCCAUCCGGAGAGACCUAGAACGGCUGCACUGAGGGCGAGCUGUGUUGCUCUCUAGGGUUACCUCUGAGUUUGAGACUGAGCAGACAGGAUCCACAGAAGUCCAAUAACAAAGGAACGCUGCUUAGUAAGUUGCAAAAGUAAU